Molecule: ribosomal RNA, 502 nt
Filed under: uncultured bacterium
Lineage: Bacteria
Description: partial 16S ribosomal RNA
Rfam family: Bacterial small subunit ribosomal RNA
Source: RNAcentral
GACGAACGCUGGCGGCGUGCUUAACACAUGCAAGUCGAACGGUGAAGGGGUCUGCUUUUGUGGGCCCUGGAUGAGUGGCGAACGGGUGAGUAACACGUGAGUAACCUGCCCCCUUCUUCUGGAUAACCGCAUGAAAGUGUGGCUAAUACGGGAUAUUCUGGGUCUGUCGCAUGAUGGGUCUGGGAAAGAUUGCGCCUUUGGGUGUUUUUGGUGGGGGAUGGGCUCGCGGCCUAUCAGCUUGUUGGUGGGGUGAUGGCCUACCAAGGCGGUGACGGGUAGCCGGCCUGAGAGGGUGGACGGUCACACUGGGACUGAGACACGGCCCAGACUCCUACGGGAGGCAGCAGUGGGGAAUAUGGCACAAUGGGCGCAAGCCUGAUGCAGCGACGCCGCGUGAGGGAUGGAGGCCUUCGGGUUGUAAACCUCUUUCGCCAGUGAAGCAGGCCUGCUCCUUGUGGGUGGGUUGACGGUAGCUGGAUAAGAAGCGCCGGCUAACUACGUG